CUGGGUUGGGUUUUAUGGCUCCAAACUAUGGGUGUGUCACCAUGCAGGAAGUAGUGGGAAAACCGAGGGAGGGGCAGAGGAAAAAAGGAGGGUGGAGAACUGUGUUUAGUGAGUGCCUACUGGAUGCUGGGAGUUGCAUACAGGCGUUACCAUAUUUAAAUUAAACCUUGAGAUGAAGGGACUGAAGGACAGAGAGAAAUUGCAUGCCUGGAGUCUCACUGCUAGUACAUAGAGGUGUUAUCUUCCUUUCAUCUAACAUAUUUAUUGAGCACCUACUAUGUACCAGGCCUUGUGCUAGACUCUGGGGAUAUGGAAAUGAGCAAAGUAGAUGUACCCCCGAAACUUGUGGACUAAUGGAGGAGACGGACCUUAAUCAGAUCGUCAUUCAAAGAUACUAUUACAAACUGUUCUGAGAGCCGAGGAAGCAGGAAGGAGCUGUGAGAGACUGAGCUCUAACCUUGGCCAUCAAAGACAAGCUGUGCAGCUCUGGUUUUUUGAGGGCAGGACAUGGAGGGUCAGGCCCAGCUGGAGGCGCACCAAAGCCCAGAGAAAAUUCAGAACCACGUGAACUUGUUGGAUUUCAGCCCCUUGAAGCACAUGUUGCUAUUGCAGCUGCCUUGAUAACUGGGGGGACAGGAGGAGCACGGCUUUCCCAUCUUGUACGGGGACUCGCCAAUCCAGUUGCCCCUGGAAGAGAAAAGGACCCAGGGAGACAGAGGAGCAUUAGGACUCAUUCAAUCAUUUAGUCAUUCAACAAACACUUCUGGAGCACCUAUUGAACAUCAGGAUUUGUGCCGGCUGCUGUCAGUCCACAGUUCUCAAAAGGCUACUAAUGACUUCAAGAACAUCAGAAUAAUACAAUAGAAAGAAUUUGGAA
This 877-nucleotide long non-coding RNA is filed under the name Homo sapiens (human). RNAcentral describes it as "HSALNT0401196". The record is from RNAcentral. Lineage: Eukaryota; Metazoa; Chordata; Mammalia; Primates; Hominidae.